Molecule: ribosomal RNA, 200 nt
Filed under: uncultured eukaryote
Lineage: Eukaryota
Description: partial 18S ribosomal RNA
Source: RNAcentral
GGUCUUGGUCGCGCUACGACGGGGGACAUUGCCCUCGAGGUCCAGCGGAGUGGCUUUGCACCAGGCAAAGUUGUCGGCAUCUAAAUCAUGGCUCGACCGUGCGCACGAUGUUGCACAUUGUUGACCGGCACGCUUCAGGUUCGCAGUUUUCACCUGGUGGCGGCACACCAUAGGUGCAGCAGACCCAUGCCGGCAAAGAG